UUAGUGGCGGACUGGUGAGUAACGCGUGAGGAACCUGCCUUUCAGUGGGGGACAACAGUUGGAAACGACUGCUAAUACCGCAUAAAACAUUUGGGUGGCAUCAUUCGAAUGUCAAAGAUUUAUUGCUGAAAGAUGGCCUCGCGUCUGAUUAGAUAGUUGGUGGGGUAACGGCCUACCAAGUCGACGAUCAGUAGCCGGACUGAGAGGUUGACCGGCCACAUUGGGACUGAGAUACGGCCCAGACUCCUACGGGAGGCAGCAGUGGGGAAUAUUGCGCAAUGGGGGAAACCCUGACGCAGCAACGCCGCGUGAUUGAAGAAGGCCUUCGGGUUGUAAAGAUCUUUAAUUCGGGACGAAAAAAAUGACGGUACCGAAAGAAUAAGCUCCGGCUAACUACGUGCCAGCAGCCGCGGUAAUACGUAGGGAGCAAGCGUUAUCCGGAUUUACUGGGUGUAAAGGGCGUGUAGGCGGGACUACAUGUCAGAUGUGAAAAUUAUGGGCUCAACCCAUAACCUGCAUUUGAAACUGUGGUUCUUGAGUGCUGGAGAGGCAAAUGGAACUCCUAGUGUAGCGGUGAAAUGCGUAGAUAUUAGGAAGAACACCAGUGGCGAAGGCGAUUUGCUGGACAGUAACUGACGCUGAUGCGCGAAAGUGUGGGGAGCAAACAGGAUUAGAUACCCUGGUAGUCCACACCGUAAACGAUGGAUACUAGGUGUGGGGGGGUCUGACCCCCUCCGUGCCGCAGUUAACACAUUAAGUAUUGCACCUGGGGAGUACGAUCGCAAGGUUGAA
Molecule: ribosomal RNA, 792 nt
Filed under: uncultured bacterium
Lineage: Bacteria
Description: bacterial SSU rRNA
Rfam family: Bacterial small subunit ribosomal RNA
Source: RNAcentral